UGGGGAAUUUUGGACAAUGGGCGCAAGCCUGAUCCAGCCAUGCCGCGUGAGUGAAGAAGGCCUUCGGGUUGUAAAGCUCUUUCGGCGGGGAAGAAAUGGCUUCGGUUAAUACCCGGAGUAGAUGACGGUACCCGCAUAAGAAGCACCGGCUAACUACGUGCCAGCAGCCGCGGUAAUACGUAGGGUGCGAGCGUUAAUCGGAAUUACUGGGCGUAAAGCGUGCGCAGGCGGUUGCGUAAGUCAGAUGUGAAAUCCCCGGGCUCAACCUGGGAACUGCAUUUGAAACUGCACGGCUAGGGUGUAGCAGAGGGGGGUAGAAUUCCACGUGUAGCAGUGAAAUGCGUAGAGAUGUGGAGGAAUACCGAUGGCGAAGGCAGCGCCCUGGGUUACUACUGACGCUCGUGCACGAAAGCGUGGGGAGCAAACA
Molecule: ribosomal RNA, 427 nt
Filed under: uncultured prokaryote
Description: bacterial SSU rRNA
Rfam family: Bacterial small subunit ribosomal RNA
Source: RNAcentral